RNAcentral lists this small RNA (572 nucleotides) under Pan troglodytes (chimpanzee). RNAcentral describes it as "retained intron". The record is from RNAcentral. Lineage: Eukaryota; Metazoa; Chordata; Mammalia; Primates; Hominidae.
UAUGAUGGUGAAAAUUCCCUUUAAAAGUAACAUGCGAUUGCUAACACUUGACCUCAUAUAUCACUUGACCUUACAGGACCGUAUAAUAGACGCUGGCCCCAAAGGAAACUACUCUCGAUUUAUGAAUCACAGCUGCCAGCCCAACUGUGAGACCCUCAAGUGGACAGUGAAUGGGGACACUCGUGUGGGCCUGUUUGCCGUCUGUGACAUUCCUGCAGGGACGGAGCUGACUUUUAACUACAACCUCGAUUGUCUGGGCAAUGAAAAAACGGUCUGCCGGUGUGGAGCCUCCAAUUGCAGUGGAUUCCUUGGGGAUAGACCAAAGGUAAGGCUGUGGCGCCCUCCUUCCCCCCAGGCUCUGUGUUGGCAUUUUGCACUUCUGGAGACAUGUGCCCCCCCGUGAACAGCGGCUUCCUCCAGGCUGGCUUGUUGCUGGGACAGGUGGGAGCAAGUUCCCUGCUGUGGGCUGGGGAGGACGGCUCUCAACAAAGGCCAGUGGUUAAGAGUUCCUCACUGAACGUGUUUCCUGGGGCUGCCAGAACAAUGCCCCACAGACGCGUGGUUUCGCAGUU